UACGGAGGGAGCUAGCGUUGUCCGGAAUUAUUGGGCGUAAAGAGCUCGUAGGCGGUUCGAUAAGUCGGACGUGAAAUCUCCACGCUCAACGUGGAGGGGCCGUUCGAUACUGUCGUGACUCGAGUCCGGUAGGGGAGUGUGGAAUUCCCGGUGUAGCGGUGAAAUGCGCAGAGAUCGGGAGGAACACGCGUAGCUAAGGCGACUACCUGGCCUGUUCUUGACGCUGAGGCGCGAAAGCUAGGGGAGCAAACGGG
RNAcentral lists this ribosomal RNA (254 nucleotides) under uncultured bacterium. RNAcentral's name for it is "partial 16S ribosomal RNA". It matches the Rfam family "Bacterial small subunit ribosomal RNA", at positions 524 to 776 of the family's 1533-position model. The record is from RNAcentral.